AGUUCCAGCCAGCGGGGCCUGAACCAGGGCAGCAAGCGGUUCGGCAGGCGCUUCUUAAACUCGUGCAGAGUGCAGAGUUCCAGGGCGCAAUAGUGGAUGUUGCAGUUCAUGCACUUGUUGCACGAACAGAUAGCAAAAGUGCCGCUCCAAGCAGUUGUCCCGCUUCAGAGUGAAGAAACUUUUGGGACAUUGCGUGAUGUCGUCGCUGCCCUCUCGGCACGGAUGGACCUUCUCAAGGUCCCUGCAAGAAGAGAUCAUCAAAAGUAUCAUAAAAUAUACCACCAACGAUGUGCGGCCAACUUACAUGGCCCGGCAGUGGUGCCAGAUGACGAAUAGCAGCACAGAUGUCUGUAGCAGAAGUCUGACCAGACGGAACUGCACGUGGUUCUGCAUUUUCAGUUAUCUCCUCUCCAACACCGGCAUAGAUUAAUUGAAUUAUCAAUCGGACCAUGGUCAGCCAGUCGUGACCGCUGUGGGUCAAUGGCGCAUCCUUCCCGACAUGGAAGGCCGCGAAGGCGGUUGCCUCUCAGACUGACAGCCUCAAUAAUUAAUACGAUGCGGAGGUCAAGAGUAAUUAAAUCAAAUGAAAUCUCAUUU
Long non-coding RNA from Drosophila subobscura, 597 nucleotides. RefSeq lists it as uncharacterized. The transcript has 3 exons. NCBI's taxonomy places the organism in Eukaryota, Metazoa, Arthropoda, Insecta, Diptera, Drosophilidae. The record is from RefSeq and is a predicted model, not a curated record.